This is a long non-coding RNA of Cinclus cinclus, 937 nucleotides long. RefSeq lists it as uncharacterized. The record is from RefSeq and is a predicted model, not a curated record. The transcript is spliced from 2 exons. NCBI's taxonomy places the organism in Eukaryota, Metazoa, Chordata, Aves, Passeriformes, Cinclidae.
ACCCAGCAGACAGUGUGAGGAAGGUGAGACAAGUGGUCAGAAGAGCCCGUGCCCAGGGCGGGCUGCUGGCGGUGCAGGGACAGCAGGGCUGGGUUUCUAUGACAGCCCCAUCCCCACCAGGGCAGGACCUGCAGCCCAGCAGCCUUCUGGCAGCAAAGGGGGCUCAGGGACACCCAAGGACACCCAGGAACACCUCAGCACGGGUUUGCAGCGACCCAGCUGAGGGAUCCUUUGCCAAGACAGCACCUGGCACUGGAUUUGGAAGUACCAAGAGCCAUCAUGAAGAUGGAAGACCCCAGGAAAGCAGAAAGCAGCCCCUGCGCCACGAAGCUGUCGAGACAGGCCCCCCAAAAGUCCCCUAAGCUUUGGAAAAGUUAGUCCUGCAGAAACCGGGCCAAAAUGUCCAACUGUUUAUCUCUCGGUAACGAGGUUUGGUUCCCAUGGCAGCGCGCCCCGGGAUGGCUCCGCUCAGCUCACACAGCACCGAUGCCCGCCGGGGCCUCUCCAGAACACACAGCUCCUGCCACGGGCUGCACCCCGAGCUCUGCCAACACCUGCCCCCGCCGCCGCCCCAGCACCGCGGGCCCUGCCCUCCCCUCCCGUCCUGCCAAGCCCCGGCGCUGGUGACAGCAGGUGACAAUCACCAGCCGGUCUCAGGCACCUGCAGCCCUUCCUCAGCAGCGCCCUGCACCGUGGGGACGCUCAGGGGAUGAAGUGGGAAGGCAGAAAGGAGGCAGCAGGGGUGCUGGGAAGGCAAAGUGGGACCAGCAGCAUCGUCCUCCUCACAGCCAGGGGAGUCACGGCACCACCUGGGCUGUGCCAGCAACGUGGACUGGGGGGAAACACCCAUGGCGUUGUGUCCAAACGUGAGUCCACGCCAAGAACUGAUGUUUCACACUACAUUAAACCAAAAUAAAUCUUAUUUCUCUCUUUUUGA